UAGAAUCUCAAACCUCAAACCUCCUCCUCUCUGUCCAUCGAUCGAAAACCUCUGCAACUUCUCAUCUCUCUUGAUCAGAACCUAUAAAACCUCUCAUCUCUCUCGAUCGAAACCUCUGAAAACCUCUCACCUCUACAGUUGCUGUCUCCUCUUUUCUGUCGCUGGAAGCAAGUUGAGGUAGGGUUUUGCUGUGCUGGAACUGUUGGUGCUGCUUUUGAGAUAUGGAAGCUCUGGCUCUAGCUCCGGCCCCGGCUCCGGCCCCUCAUACUCCACAUGAACCGUUGAACAAUUUGGUGCGUUGGCCAAUAACUGAGGACCUUAGGGAGGCAUUAACUAGGAUAGGUUUAGGAUUCUUUGAACGUUUUAAGUUCCAAAUGAGGUUGGAUUGUACCAUGGUAAACGCUUUGCUACGACACUAUGAUCGUAAUUUAAAGUGUUUUACCUUUAAUGGUUAUUCACUCUAUUUUAGUUUAGUAGAUGUCCUUCUCAUCACCGGUAUGCCGAUUGACGGUAGACCGGUUAUUGGCAGGAUAGGGAAAACAGAAACUUUAUUUUUGAAUGCUUUUGGUAUCGAUCCUCCUCCAGCAUCUUUGGAUGGAGGGAGGAUUAGGCUUAGUUGGUUAAGAGAACAUUAUAGUAAUAACCCAGUACGUCCAGAUGAGGAUGGGUGGGCACACUAUCUUAGAGCCUAUCUCAUGUAUGUCAUUGGGUCAUAUAUAAUACCCGAUGACUGCACUGGGUUAGUUUCUGCCCAGUAUUUGGGGCUCUUGGACAAUCUUCAGGAGGUUGGCAGCUAUGCGUGGGGCGCAGCUGCAUGGGCGAGCUUGUACAAUUCUUUGGAUCGAGGAAUCGUAAACGGCUUGGCAUACGCUCUCAUGGUUUUUGCUCUGGAGCAUAUAAAGCCACUACGCAUAAAGCUGAUAGGAGAGACAGUGGAUCUCCCGAUGGAGUGUCCAUUAAUGGUGCCGUGGUCCCACCUUCUCCAUAAACGCUUGAAUGGGAACACAGUUCCCAAUUUUGGAUCCUAUAUGGAAAUUCUGGGGAACGCAACUGAUGAAAAUUUCAUACAGCAGCCUUAUCAGAGGCUUAGCCAUACUCUUCUAGGGGAGGGUUAUGAGCGUUAUGCCCUUCAGCUGGCUAAGGCAUGUUCAGUCACUCUCUGCAUCAAUUAUCACAUAAUCGUCCCUCACAAACCAAACAACUAUGCUAGGCAAUUAGGUUUUGAGAAUAUAGACCUAGAUUCAAUAGCAGAGCUUCCUGAUGUGGUGGUUGAAGUAAGAAAGAAGGGGCCAAAGAAAGAUUUAAAUCUUGCUGACCACGGGCACUUUCCCCUGUACAUUAACAGCUGGGUUGGCAGGUUUCCUUUGAGAGGGCCGCGGAUAGCUGGUUUAGUAGGUCCUCCAUAUGCUGUGGAAUUGCCAGCGCAUGACGUGCCUGUGCAUGCCCUUCAUGACGACCCACAACUGCCCCCGCAUGAUGAGCAACCAAAGUCCCUAAAACCUAAACCCAGGAAGAGAAGAAGGGAAGUUCUGCAACCUAGUUCUACUGCUGUCCCGUCAGCAUCUCAUCAGGCAGAGCCCUCCACCUUGCCUGCACCUGAACAGCUGACUUGUGUUGAGGAACCGGAGGGGUCACAAGUUGUUGACAGAGACACGUUUGAGAAUGCUGACGCUGCAACAUCUCCAUCAUGCAAUCCUCCACUUCCGGCAUCUCAAGAUCAACAAUCUGAUGCAGUACCAGUAGAAGUUGCAGAAGCGGCAACACCACCAGUCUUCAAUUCAUCGCCUUCCAUAGCUACCAACUUAGAAUCUGAAAACAACCCAUCAUCACAGUUGCUUCAAACCCCAAUUGGUUGGCCUCAUGAUGGCGAACUCACCCUCAACUGGGUCCAAAACCUCAUGUCGGUCUUCGACUGGGCUUCUAGAAAUCUUAAGCCGACUCAAUUGCCAGACGUGUUUCCUGUUGAGGUUUUUGAUAGUUUGGUCAUUUGUGCCUCCCAGAUCCUCCAAAAAGAGGCCAAUUGCGUCACCAUUGACAACUUAGCCUCAGAAUCCACAGUCGUCGUCGUCGGAGACCUUCACGGGCAGUUGCACGACCUUCUUUUCCUUCUCCGUGAUGCUGGCCUUCCCUCGGAAAAUCGAUUCUUCGUCUUCAAUGGAAAUUAUGUUGACAAAGGUGCUUGGGGUUUUGAAACUUUCCUAAUUGUGUUAGCUUGGAAAGUGUUCAUGCCAAAAAGGGUGUAUCUUUUGCGUGGAAGUCAUGAAUCAAAGUUUUGCACUUCUAUUUAUGGUUUUGAGAAGGAAGUGUUGACAAAAUAUAGUGAUAGAGGCAAGCAUAUGUAUCGUAGAUGUCUUGGGUGCUUUAAAAGUCUUCCUUUGGCUUCCCUCAUUGGUAAACAUGUGUACACUGCACAUGGAGGUAUAUUUCGCCACAUCCCUGUGAUCCCCAAGAAAUCAAAGGGAAUGAAGAGUCGUAGGAUGGCUUUCAAUCCUGAAUCCAAUUCAUUAUCUUUGGGAUCUUUUGAAGAACUAAAUAAGGCUAGAAGAUUAGUUCUUGAUCCUUCAUGGGAGGGUUCCAACUUAAUUCCGGGCGAUGUGAUGUGGUCGGAUCCUUCAAGGACUCCGGGUCUUUCAUUUAAUAUCGAGAGAGGAAUUGGUUUGAUAUGGGGUCCUGAUUGCACUGAUGAUUUUCUCAAGAAAUUUCAUCUGAAGUUGAUUAUCAGAUCGCAUGAAGGCCCUGAUGCACGAAAAAAGAGACCAAGUCUUGGUGGAAUGGAUGAAGGGUACACCAUCGAUCACAUUGUGGAGUCAGGAAAGCUGAUCACUUUGUUUAGUGCUCCAGACUACCCACAAUUUCAGGGGACAGAGGAGAGGUACAAAAAUAAAGGGGCUUACAUUAUCUUGGAACCCCCUAAUUUUGAUGAUCCUGUAUUUCGUAGUUUUGAAGCAAUUACUCCAAGACCAAAGGCAGAUCCCUUUUACAAUUUUGAAGAUGUGACUGAUGCUGAUGAAGAGUUGGGCUUGGCAUCAAUGGUGACCAGUUCGUGAAGGUUGAACUUGCUCACAAGUUUGAAGGACAGGAGCAUUUUAAGAAUGAUGAACACCCACAGUUUUCGUUGAUCCAGGCCAGGGAAAAAGGAAGAAGAAAGAAUCAUUUAUUUCCUGGAUCUUAUUAUUAGUAUCACAACUUUUAUUUCUUUUAAUACAUGCACAAUUUUAUGAAUUUCAGAGGUAAGUUACAGCAUGACCUUGGAUGCUAAGCCUUGUCUGUUGACGAGAGGAAACAAAUAUUAAAACUGGUUUUAGGAAGUUACAGUAUGACCUUGGAUGCUAAGCCUUAGUCUGUUGACGAGAGGAAACAAAUACUAAAACUGGUUUUGUCGGUGAACGGGUGCCUAUUGCAGCAUAUUCUUCAUCCUUGGGAAAUAUAACUUUCCAGGGUAUCGCUGUUCAUAAACUGACAUAUUACUGCCAUGAAGUGUAUAGCUCCACUUUCAUCCACUUUCAUCUCAACAUCAAGAAGGAGACACAGCUCCACAUGUAAUGCAUAAUUUGUGUUGCCACACAUCCGAUUUUAUAUACCUUUGUAUAUCCAGUGGCAACAGGUGUAUGUACUAUUGAGAAAAGAUCAAUUACACAGGACUAAGUGUCCAGUUAGAUCCA
Molecule: RNA transcript, 3662 nt
Organism: Prunus dulcis (almond)
Lineage: Eukaryota; Viridiplantae; Streptophyta; Magnoliopsida; Rosales; Rosaceae
Gene name: serine/threonine-protein phosphatase 7 long form homolog
Exons: 10
Source: RefSeq, a predicted model, not a curated record